Molecule: ribosomal RNA, 116 nt
Filed under: Oryzias javanicus (javanese ricefish)
Lineage: Eukaryota; Metazoa; Chordata; Actinopteri; Beloniformes; Adrianichthyidae
Source: RNAcentral
GCUUACGCCACACCACCUGAACACGCCCGAUCUCGUCCGAUCUCGGAAGCUAAGCAGGGUCGGCCUGGUUAGUACUUGGAUGGGAGACCGCCUGGGAAUACCAGGUGCUGUAAGUU